UUGGCUCUCGCAUCGAUGAAGAACGCAGCGAAAUGCGAUAAGUAAUGUGAAUUGCAGAAUUCAGUGAAUCAUCGAAUCUUUGAACGCAACUUGCGCUCUCUGGUAUUCCGGAGAGCAUGCCUGUUUGAGUGUCAU
This 135-nucleotide ribosomal RNA is filed under the name Vanrija sp. BG090809.6.7.3.1.10. RNAcentral describes it as "5.8S ribosomal RNA". It matches the Rfam family "5.8S ribosomal RNA", at positions 21 to 154 of the family's 154-position model. Rfam says of the family: 5.8S ribosomal RNA (5.8S rRNA) is a component of the large subunit of the eukaryotic ribosome. It is transcribed by RNA polymerase I as part of the 45S precursor that also contains 18S and 28S rRNA. Lineage: Eukaryota; Fungi; Basidiomycota; Tremellomycetes; Trichosporonales; Trichosporonaceae. The record is from RNAcentral.